Molecule: ribosomal RNA, 253 nt
Filed under: uncultured bacterium
Lineage: Bacteria
Description: partial 16S ribosomal RNA
Rfam family: Bacterial small subunit ribosomal RNA
Source: RNAcentral
GACAGAGGAUGCAAGCGUUAUCCGGAAUGAUUGGGCGUAAAGCGUCUGUAGGUGGCUUUUUAAGUCCGCCGUCAAAUCCCAGGGCUCAACCCCUGGACAGGCGGUGGAAACUACCAAGCUGGAGUACGGUAGGGGCAGGAGGGAAUUCCGGUGGAGCGGUGAAUGCGUAGAGAUCGGAAAGAACACCAACGGCGAAAGCACUCUGCUGGGCCGACACUGACACUGAGAGACGAAAGCUAGGGGAGCGAAUGGG